Molecule: ribosomal RNA, 449 nt
Filed under: uncultured bacterium
Lineage: Bacteria
Description: bacterial SSU rRNA
Rfam family: Bacterial small subunit ribosomal RNA
Source: RNAcentral
UCAGUCGACUCCUACGGGAGGCAGCAGUGGGGAAUAUUGCACAAUGGGCGCAAGCCUGAUCCAGCCAUGCCGCGUGAGUGAUGAAGGCCCUAGGGUUGUAAAGCUCUUUCAACGGUGAAGAUAAUGACGGUAACCGUAGAAGAAGCCCCGGCUAACUUCGUGCCAGCAGCCGCGGUAAUACGAAGGGGGCUAGCGUUGUUCGGAAUAAACUGGGCGUAAAGCGCACGUAGGCGGAUUGUUAAGUUAGGGGUGAAAUCCCAGGGCUCAACCCUGGAACUGCCUUUAAUACUGGCAAUCUAGAGUUCGAGAGAGGUGAGUGGAAUUCCGAGUGUAGAGGUGAAAUUCGUAGAUAUUCGGAGGAACACCAGUGGCGAAGGCGGCUCACUGGCUCGAUACUGACGCUGAGGUGCGAAAGUGUGGGGAGCAAACAGGAUUAGAUACCCUGGUAG